CAUGGAAGAUAUUAUGAUCAACUCUGUGCACCAUCACUAAGCAAAAUGUCAUUAGGUAUGAUUUACAGAACAUGAUUACAGUGAGGACAGAACCAGUUGAUGAGAUAUAUAGUGGAAGAUUAGAGCAGCCUGGCGGAGGAGCUAGCUCUUCUGGAGGGCUUACAAGCACAUGCUUUGUGGUUUUUUUUUCCCCUUGAAUACUGCUUAAGCAAACCAGCACUUGGAGAACAUCUGGAAUCCAGGACAAAUGGUUUGAUCAAAUGAUCCAUUUUGGCGACAUGUUGAAGAUAUGAAUGAUAGUAGUGUGAGUUUUGUGGGCAUCCAUUUGCCAAGGAUACUUCCAUUUCGAGGAUCAAAUGGCAUUUGUCAGGAGUGAAAGGG
Long non-coding RNA from Populus euphratica (Euphrates poplar), 381 nucleotides. RefSeq lists it as uncharacterized. The record is from RefSeq and is a predicted model, not a curated record. NCBI's taxonomy places the organism in Eukaryota, Viridiplantae, Streptophyta, Magnoliopsida, Malpighiales, Salicaceae. The transcript has 2 exons.